Molecule: non-coding RNA, 3655 nt
Organism: Amborella trichopoda
Lineage: Eukaryota; Viridiplantae; Streptophyta; Magnoliopsida; Amborellales; Amborellaceae
Source: RefSeq, a predicted model, not a curated record
ACCGCUCUAAACUAAAGAAUUCUGUUAAGAGAGUGGUUCGAUAUUUUGCCAAUAUAGAACUAGUAUAGAGAACCAAAAUUUAACCAGUAAAAAGCCCUAGCCCCUCCCCUCGACUCCCCUCUUUACCUACACUCUUGCUCUUCUCUAAACCCUACACUUCUCUCUCCUCUCCUCUCCUCUCAGAUCUCUCUCCCCUCACGUUACUCUCUCUCUCACCUCCGCCAUUACUGUUCUGCCAAACUCCUCAACAAAACCCUCUCUAACUGUUCUGCUGGUUGAGGAAGCAACCUGGUAGCUCGAACAAAGGGUUUCUCUGCUGCCUUUGUAGUCCUUCAACCCUGUUUCGAAUGGUUUGGCGACUCUCUGUCACUCGUAACCUUUCAUUUCCUCGUGUCUUAUCUUUUACCCCGCCUUUUUCUAUUCUUUAAUGCGUGUGUUGAAAAGAUGCAUUUUAUCAGUGAGGACCACCAGCUUCUGUUCUUAUCAUCAGCUAUUAACAAUAAACAACAAGAAUUUGGCAAGUCGUUCAACUAUCUCAGAUUCAGACCCAAAGAUAGUGAGAUGGAACAUUGCAAUCAGCGAACGGGCAAGGGCUGGCUCAAUUGCAGCUGCACGCGAACUGUUCGAUACAAUGCCCCACCGCAGCAUUGUUUCGUGGAAUGCCAUCAUCUCUGCCUAUGCUUCAAACUCCGACAUUGAUUCUGCCCGCUGCCUAUUUGACCAAAUGCCUUGUCGUGACCUUGUCUCGUGGAAUGUGAUGCUCGCUGCCUAUGUCAAGAAUGAUGAUCUGAGGGCAGCACGCCGCCUUUUCACUGCAAUGCCAGAACGAGAUGUGGUCUCCUGGAACACCCUCCUCUCGGGCUACACUCAGGCCGGAUACAUUGAUGAUGCUAAGGACCUUUUUGAUCGAAUGCCCAAGAGAAACUCGAUUUCGUGGAAUGCAAUACUUGUAGGGUACAUUCAGAAUGGUUGUUUUGAGUCUGCAUGCAAGCUCUUUGCCUCAAAUCCUAAUGACUGGGACACUGUGUCUUGGAAUGCCUUGAUGGCUGGGUAUGUUCGGAGGAAGAGAUUGAUCGAGGCUCGACACCUAUUCGACAAAAUGUCCCAAAGGGAUGUGGUCUCAUGGAAUACGAUGAUCACUGGGUAUGCUCAAAAUGCUCAAAUGCAGGAGGCUCAUGAGCUUUUUAGGUUGUGUCUUGUGCGUGAUGUAUUCACUUGGACAGCGAUGGUGUCGGGGUAUGUGCAGAAUGGGAUGCUCGAUGAGGCGAGGGAUGUUUUCAACCAAAUGCCUGAGAGGAACACCGUGUCAUGGAAUGCGAUGAUUGCGGGUUAUGUCCAAGGGCGUCGGCUUGCACAGGCUUGUGAGUUGUUUGAGGCGAUGCCAUGCCGGAAUGCCUGCUCAUGGAACACCAUGGUGACUGGGCACGGUCAAAGUGGCGAUGUGGACACCGCCCGGCGGCUCUUUGACAAAAUGCCCAAGCGAGAUGCCAUCUCUUGGGCAGCCAUGAUAGCGGCAUAUGCUCAAAAUGGGCAUAGUGAGGAGGCAUUGAACCUCUUUAUUGAGAUGAGGAGGAUUGGACAAUGCUUGAUGAAUCGAUCAACUUUCACGUGUGCUUUGAGUACGUGUGCCGACAUUGCAGCGUUGGAGUGCGGGAAGCAGGUGCAUGCUCACCUCGUGAAGUCGGGGUAUGCAACAUGCACCUUUGUGGGCAAUGCUUUGCUCGCAAUGUACUGCAAAUGCGGGAGCAUUGCCGAGGCUUAUGUGGCCUUCAAAACAAUGCCGGAGAAAGACUUGGUCACAUGGAAUACAAUGAUAGCGGGUUAUGCCCGCCAUGGAUUCGGCAUCAGGGCUCUCCAAGUCUUUGAAGCCAUGAGAGAGAAACAUAUUGGACCAGAUAAUAUCACCAUGGUUGCGGUUCUGUCGGCUUGUAGCCACACCGGGUUGGUGAGCAAAGGCAUGGAGUAUUUUGAGUCCAUGAGGAGGGAUUACGGAAUAGAACCGGCAGGACAACACUAUACUUGCAUGAUUGACCUUCUUGGUCGCGCGGGGCGCUUGGAAGAGGCGUGGUGUCUCAUGCAAAGCAUAUCAUUUGAACCAGAUGGCACGAUGUGGGGUGCUCUGCUUGGUGCUAGUAGGAUACAUGGGAACACUAAAUUGGCUGAGAUGGCAGCAGAGAAGGUUUUUGAGAUGGAGCCAGAUAAUUCAGGGAUGUAUGUUCUCCUCUCAAAUUUGUAUGCGGAAGCUGGAAGAUGGGCUGAUGUGGAUAGAUUGAGAGUAAUGAUGAGGGAAAAAGGGGUGAAGAAAGUGCCCGGUUUUAGUUGGAUUGAGUAUAAGAACAAGGUCCAUGCUUUCUCUGUUGGGGAUUCAGACCAUCCCCAAAAAGAGAAGAUCUAUGCUUUCUUAGAGGAAUUGGAUCUGAGGAUGAAACAGGCUGGACAUGUAUCGGAAACGAAGAUGGUGUUACAUGAUGUGGAAGAGGAGGAGAAGGAGCACAUGGUUAAGCACCAUAGUGAGAAGCUGGCUGUCGCGUUUGGGAUCUUGAAUGUGCCCGAGGGACGGCCCAUCAGGGUGAUUAAGAACCUUAGAGUGUGUGUGGAUUGCCACAAUGCCAUAAAGCUUGUGUCUGAAAUAAUGGGGCGGGCUGUAAUUUUACGGGACUCCAAUCGUUUUCACCAUUUUGAGGGUGGUUUGUGUUCUUGCGGGGAUUAUUGGUGACAUAUUUGGUAAGAAAGGGGAGAUACCAGAUGUGAGAAAUAACGUGCUUUGAAAUACUGAAAGUGCAUUGGUUUGUCUCUGUUUCCCCUUUUUGCAGGAUUGUAUUGGAGCAAUUGAUGGAAUUCACAUCCUUGUGACAAUCGAUGCUGAGAGCUAAGCCCAAAUCGCAAUCGAAAAGGGUUGCUUUCCCAGAACGUUAUGACAACAUGUUCAUUCAAUCUUUUAUUCCAUAUGUUUAUGCUGGGCAGGAGGGUUCUGUUGCUGAUUCUACAGUUCUCCACGCAACUUUACAAAUGGCUUUCAUGUUCUCCAAGGUACUUCUAACUCGUGAUUUAAUUAAUAAUAUUUAUGUCAUUGAUCAUUUAGAUCUUUUCAAAUAAGCUAGGUAAAUACUACCUAGUCAAUGCAGGUUAUGCGAAUACCCCAAAUUUUAUCGCCCAAUGGAGUUUCAUUACCACCUCAAAGAAUAUGGACAUGGACAAAAUGCUACACAUGACUACAUGGAGUUAUUCAAUUUGAGACAUUCUUGUCUAAGAAAUGCAAUAAAGCGCAUAUUUGGUGUACUUAAGAAGCGUUUUGGUAUGCUUUCAGAGCAUACCCAAUAAAAAAAAGUCGAAUUAGUUAUUUUAAUGUGUUUCUUAUAUAAUUUUAUUCUUAUACAUUUGAAAGUGAUGACUGGCCCUUUGGGGAGUAUGACAAGGAAAAUCAUGAUCAAGUACAUCGACCAGAGAAUUUGAAGAAGAAAGCGCAACUAAUCUACGUGAUGCGAGUAGUUGAUUGCGAGAUAGCAUUACACAUGAUAUUUGGGUUGAUUAUUGUAACAGAAGAAGCUAGAUUGUUGGUUGGUUGAUGAUAUUAUGCUAGUUCAUAUAGUUAUAUUUUUUUUACACAUGGGAUUAUGUAUUUUUUUUUUUUUUAAAAUAACUUCUUUACUAUUAG